This 497-nucleotide ribosomal RNA is filed under the name uncultured bacterium. RNAcentral describes it as "partial 16S ribosomal RNA". It matches the Rfam family "Bacterial small subunit ribosomal RNA", at positions 28 to 507 of the family's 1533-position model. The record is from RNAcentral.
GAUGAACGCUGGCGGCGUGCCUAAUACAUGCAAGUCGAGCGAACAGACGAGGAGCUUGCUCCUCUGACGUUAGCGGCGGACGGGUGAGUAACACGUGGAUAACCUACCUAUAAGACUGGGAUAACUUCGGGAAACCGGAGCUAAUACCGGAUAAUAUAUUGAACCGCAUGGUUCAAUAGUGAACGACGGUUUUGCUGUCACUUAUAGAUGGAUCCGCGCCGCAUUAGCUAGUUGGUAAGGUAACGGCUUACCAAGGCAACGAUGCGUAGCCGACCUGAGAGGGUGAUCGGCCACACUGGAACUGAGACACGGUCCAGACUCCUACGGGAGGCAGCAGUAGGGAAUCUUCCGCAAUGGGCGAAAGCUUGACGGAGCAACGCCGCGUGAGUGAUGAAGGUCUUCGGAUCGUAAAACUCUGUUAUUAGGGAAGAACAAAUGUGUAAGUAACUAUGCACGUCUUGACGGUACCUAAUCAGAAAGCCACGGCUAACUACGUG